RNAcentral lists this ribosomal RNA (253 nucleotides) under uncultured bacterium. RNAcentral's name for it is "partial 16S ribosomal RNA". It matches the Rfam family "Bacterial small subunit ribosomal RNA", at positions 524 to 776 of the family's 1533-position model. The record is from RNAcentral.
UCCGUAGGGUUCUCUCGUUAAUCGGAAUUACUGGGCGUAAAGCGUGCGCAGGCGGUUUUGUAAGUCAGAUGUGAAAUCCCCGAGCUCAACUUAGGAACUGCGUUUGAAACUACAAGACUAGAGUAGGUCAGAGGGGGGUAGAAUUCCACGUGUAGCAGUGAAAUGCGUAGAGAUGUGGAGGAAUACCAAUGGCGAAGGCAGCCCCCUGGUAUCAUACUGACGCUCAUGCACGAAAGCGUGGGGAGCAAACAGG